GGGGAAGAGAAGAGGAGAGAGGUCCAUACCGCUGCACAGUGAGGACAAGCUGAUUUCCUGAGGCAUCGAUGAGGCUCAUGGCACUGGCAUGGGAGAGGUUGGUGCAAGAGACCCCAUUGAUUGCCAAGAGCUGGUCCCUCUCUCGGAGUCCUGCUCUGCCAGCCUGGCUCCGUCUUCGAAUCUGAGAUGUUGAAGGAGACACUGUAGGGACCUCGCGCUGACAUCUGGGAAAUGCCAUUCAUACUGGAACCUCCGACACACUGCCAUGAAUGUGAGGGUUUCGUGACUGAUGGGGAGACUGCAGUCAAAUAAAACAGAUACUACACGCACUCGUCGGGGCAGCCGUACUGCAGAAGCACGUUGAUGCACUCCUGGCUGGAGGCCUGCCGGGCGUAGGUCAGCGCUGUGUUCCCGUGGGCAUCUCGGGCCAUGACGUCCACC
This 441-nucleotide long non-coding RNA is filed under the name Homo sapiens (human). Its description in RNAcentral is "long non-coding RNA NONHSAT013995". The record is from RNAcentral. Lineage: Eukaryota; Metazoa; Chordata; Mammalia; Primates; Hominidae.